This 73-nucleotide small RNA is filed under the name Xanthomonas vasicola. Its description in RNAcentral is "sX9 sRNA". It matches the Rfam family "Xanthomonas sRNA sX9". The record is from RNAcentral. Lineage: Bacteria; Pseudomonadati; Pseudomonadota; Gammaproteobacteria; Lysobacterales; Lysobacteraceae.
AUGUACCACUCGUACACUCCGGUUCCUGUGCGCCGCCCGCACCCGCCUGACGACUGCUCGCACCGUACUUGCC